RNAcentral lists this ribosomal RNA (24 nucleotides) under Agaricus flavidodiscus. RNAcentral describes it as "partial 18S ribosomal RNA". Lineage: Eukaryota; Fungi; Basidiomycota; Agaricomycetes; Agaricales; Agaricaceae. The record is from RNAcentral.
AGGAUGACCUGCGGAGGAUCAUUA